This 1299-nucleotide long non-coding RNA is filed under the name Coturnix japonica (Japanese quail). Its description in RNAcentral is "lncRNA (ENSCJPG00005021353.1)". Lineage: Eukaryota; Metazoa; Chordata; Aves; Galliformes; Phasianidae. The record is from RNAcentral.
UUGUCCCAACAACUCAGCAAGAUAAAUGGUCCAGUGUGUGCAGCAACCUUUGCCAGUCCUGCACCCCAGAAGGAAGCAAGCAGCACCAUGACAGAUGGGCUGACAAGCAGCACUGACACAACUGGGGCAGCGUGGGUGUCGGAGGGUUAGAACCACAUCCCUCUCUUUUCCUCUUUGCACCCCAGCACCUCUGGGCCAAACAGCUGUUGCUUAUCACCACCUCCCAUGGUUAUUGAUGGAAGCUGGCAGCAUGAGACCCCUCUCUAGGAGAAAAACACUAGUCACAGUCCUAACGUUGCUCUGCAAAGCUGCCAUCUGUGCUCUCCAUGGAUGCUGGUAAGAUAUCUGAGUGCAUCAGUGCUAAGUUCCUGACUAGACUUGACUCUGCUUCUCUAUAUUCCUUUCCAGAAGGGAAGAUCCUAGGCUGGCUCUUUGGGAUCUGGUUCCUGGGCUGUCCCUUCAUUUUCUGUCCUGCUGAGGAGCAGAUGUUCCAGCAUUUGAAGAGCUGCGUGUUGUAGGAUUUCUGUUGUCCCUGCUUUUAUGAUCUCAACCCAUCCCGUAGAUGAAUGGAAAAACUGAUCUGGCAUACAUCUUCUUUCCCAAAGUUUGAAGCCUGUAAGUAUUUUUUAACAGUAUCUUUUGGGAAAAGCACCAGAGCUCUUGGAAUCCAGCUCUUUGCUAGAAAUCAGUGAGGUGGGACAAGGGACAGAAGAUGUGCUGUGGCUCUUGACACAUCACCUGCCUCAUUAAAAGACUGCCACGAAUCCUGUUUCCAAUUGCAGUAGAGCUGGGCUUGGAGAGAGCUCAUCUUUUCUGACCUUCCUGCUCACAGCUGGGUCAGAUGGAUCGGGCUGCCUGGGACCACAACAGCACUGGGCUCUCCUCAGGCAGAGAGGUUUUGAGUAUCUCCAAGGAUAGGUGCCCCCCUGGCAUCAAGUGUUCAAGAAGUUCUUAUAUUUAAACUAAAUUUCUUGUGUUUAAUUUGGACUGCUGAGAUGAGUCUGGCUCCUUUGCCUUUGCUCCCUUUUCCCUGUGCAUGUGGUUGUGCUUGCCCACGUUCAGGGCUUUUUCUUCAUGAGACUCCCACCUGCCCAUCUCUCCAGCCUGCUGAGGUCCCUGCAAAGGGCAGCACAACCAUCUUCUCUGCUGACCAUUCCUUCCUCCCCAUCUUGUAUCAUCUGUGAACUUGCAGGCAGUGCACUAUCUCUGGUCAUCUGAGUCACUGAUAAAGGUCAUUAAGGGACCUUUCCUAUCCUCUUCAUGAAUUUUGGCAGGCAGAAAAGAAAGUUAUAACUGGAC